UUUGAUACGAGAUGGAAACUA
Molecule: non-coding RNA, 21 nt
Organism: Caenorhabditis elegans
Lineage: Eukaryota; Metazoa; Nematoda; Chromadorea; Rhabditida; Rhabditidae
Source: Ensembl